GGCUGACGGUACCUGAGGAAUAAGCACCGGCUAACUUCGUGCCAGCAGCCGCGGUAAUACGAAGGGUGCAAGCGUUAAUCGGAAUUACUGGGCGUAAAGCGUGCGUAGGCGGUUUUUUAAGUCUGCUGUGAAAUCCCCGGGCUCAACCUGGGAAUGGCAGUGGAUACUGGAAAGCUAGAGUGUGAUAGAGGAUGGUGGAAUUCCCGGUGUAGCGGUGAAAUGCGUAGAGAUCGGGAGGAACAUCAGUGGCGAAGGCGGCCAUCUGGAUCAACACUGACGCUGAGGCACGAAAGCGUGGGGAGCAAACAGGAUUAGAUACCCUGGUAGUCCACGCCCUAAACGAUGCGAACUGGAUGUUGGUCUCAACUCGGAGAUCAGUGUCGAAGCUAACGCGUUAAGUUCGCCGCCUGGGGAGUACGGUCGCAAGACUGAAACUCAAAGGAAUUGACGGG
Molecule: ribosomal RNA, 452 nt
Filed under: Dyella flava
Lineage: Bacteria; Pseudomonadati; Pseudomonadota; Gammaproteobacteria; Lysobacterales; Rhodanobacteraceae
Description: bacterial SSU rRNA
Rfam family: Bacterial small subunit ribosomal RNA
Source: RNAcentral